UCCGGUAUGGUGUAACGGCUAACAUUACCGCCUUUCAUGUAUACUGCGUGUUUGUGCGUUGGUGAAAAAUUGCGCGGUAGCUCGGGGUUCGAUUCCCCGUACCGGAA
Hypholoma sublateritium FD-334 SS-4 is the source of this 107-nucleotide transfer RNA. It matches the Rfam family "tRNA". From Rfam's summary of the family: Transfer RNA (tRNA) molecules are approximately 80 nucleotides in length. Their secondary structure includes four short double-helical elements and three loops (D, anti-codon, and T loops). Lineage: Eukaryota; Fungi; Basidiomycota; Agaricomycetes; Agaricales; Strophariaceae. The record is from Rfam.